This 519-nucleotide ribosomal RNA is filed under the name uncultured eukaryote. RNAcentral describes it as "partial 18S ribosomal RNA". It matches the Rfam family "Eukaryotic small subunit ribosomal RNA", at positions 1161 to 1700 of the family's 1831-position model. The record is from RNAcentral.
AGGGCACCACCAGGAGUGGAGCCUGCGGCUUAAUUUGACUCAACACGGGAAAACUCACCCGGCCCGGACACCGUAAGGAUUGACAGACUGAAAGCUCUUUCUUAAUUCGGGGGGGGGGGGUGCAUGGCCGUUCUUAGUUGGGGGAGCGAUUUGUCUGGUUAAUUCCGAUAACGAACGAAACUCUGGCCUAUUAAAUAGACGGUAUAUCUAGAAAAAGUAUACCGCGCUUCUUAGAGGGACAACCGGCGUCUCGCCGCGUGAAAAACAGCAAUAACAGGUCUGUGAUGCCCUUUGAUGUGCGGGGCUGCACGCGCGCUACACUGAAAGAAUCAGUAUGCGCCGUCGCCUAAGUCGGAAGAACCGGGUAACCCGAGCUAAUUCUUUCGUGGUUGGGAUAGGGAAUUGCAAUUAUUUCCCUUAAACGAGGAAUUCCCAGUAAAUGCGGGUCAUAAGCUCGCGUUGAUUACCUCCCUGCCCUUUGUACACACCGCCCGUCGCUACUACCGAUUGGAUGAAUUA